Molecule: ribosomal RNA, 420 nt
Filed under: uncultured bacterium
Lineage: Bacteria
Description: bacterial SSU rRNA
Rfam family: Bacterial small subunit ribosomal RNA
Source: RNAcentral
UAAGGAAUAUUGGACAAUGGAGGCAACUCUGAUCCAGCCAUGCCGCGUGAAGGAAUAAGGCCCUAUGGGUUGUAAACUUCUUUUAGACGGGACAAAACCCCUUUACGUGUAAAGGGUUGAUGGUACUGUCAGAAUAAGCAUCGGCUAACUUCGUGCCAGCAGCCGCAGUAAUACGAAGGAUGCAAGCGUUAUCCGGAAUUAUUGGGUUUAAAGGGUGCGUAGGCGGACUAAUAAGUCAGUGGUGAAAGCCUGCAGCUUAACUGCAGAAUUGCCAUUGAUACUGUUAGUCUUGAGUACAGUUGAGGUAGGCGGAAUGUGUCAUGUAGCGGUGAAAUGCUUAGAUAUGACACAGAACACCGAUUGCGAAGGCAGCUUGCUAAGCUGUAACUGACGCUGAGGCACGAAAGCGUGGGGAGCAAA